UUUGAAAAUAUUUUCUCAUCAAAUGUUAAAAAUGGAUUGAUGAACUAAGUGACAGUGAAAUAACAAAACAGUGAAGCAACAAGUCCUCAAAGUCUUUCAAAUCUUAACAUCAAACUAUCUUGAUAAAAGCCUGGCCUGUCAAAAAGAAGGAAAAAAUCUCUCUGAAAGUACAAAGAAAAUAUUUAUAAAGAAUUAAGCUACUGAGCUCAACAAAAACAGCACACCAUGCAAUAAGAAUGAAAGUACUUUGCCUCUCACUCAGGCUGUGCAGCUUUCCGGUUCACUGGCAGAGCUCAAAGACCACUACUUUUCACCUGCACUGCAUUUAGUCUUUAUUUUUGGUGCAGAUUUGUAACAAUGAGACCAGAAGAAGAAAAAAAUCCCCUUCAACCCCUAAUCUAUUUUUCCAUCAUCACCUAUUCAGAAAGUACAAGUAUAAAAAUAUGCAAUGGUGGAAAAACCCAUCACACAAUAAAAAACAACCCACAGGACAAACUCAUCUGUGAAGUAACUAACCACAGUGCUCUUCAAACUCCCACUGCUGGCUUCUGCCCUUUUCAGCCCUUCUCCACAGCUUUUUCUUAAGUCAAAAGGUGAUUCUGAUUCUCUUACCCUACAAUGAUGACUGUCUCGCUCUCUGCACUGCUCAGCUAAGCCAUCGUCAUCACGAGACCAAAAACUCCAGGUGCAAACUUCUGAUGGAGUCAGCAGUGAAUGCAAGAGAAAGGGAAUGAGCUCACUUCUCAUUUCGGACAACAGAGUUUAUCUCAUAUGUCUCAACCAGAGAAAAACAUCCAUGGAAAAAAGAAAGAAAACAGAGGCAGAGUGUUUGAAGCAGCAUCCUCGUGCUCUCGAGCCAUCGUUUCAUUGCCUACAACUUCAAGUUCACCAACUUCAGGAACAGGCAAGGAGAAAUGAACUCAUGUUCACUUACUGCACGGAACUCUGCAGUAAAAUACAUAUGCAGAAACUUACCCAUUCUCUUGUAAAACUGAAUGCUUUCCAAGCCAAACACAGCAACAGAUCAAACUCAGAACACAUCAAACAGUUAGUGCUAAUAUUUAUAUCAGUGUUGAUAAUGACUUCAGAAUAGAAGAAUUCAGCUCCUUUCCAUCCUGAAUUUUGUGUUGGCUUAAAAACCAUAUACAUAAAUUAGGUACAGCAAGGGAAAAUACCAAGUUUUGUUUGCUCCCACAACACAGCACUGGUAUUUCCAUUGGUGUUCUUGAAUCUUAGUAAUUAUUUUCUAAAAACAAUCAGCCAAAAACUAUGUUUCUCAGUAAAUGUGCUCAUGUUUUACUGCUUUAAACAUUAAGGUUUCUUUCAAAUCAAUGUCUCACAGCUCCAUCUUUAAUCUCAUCUGUAAGCAGAUAAAUAUUUCAGAUUUUAUGUACUCUGACUCAAACUUUAUUUAAGAAAAAGAAUGAUGAACAUAAAGCAAAUCUGACCAUAUUUGCUGGAAGAGUCCAUGCAUAAAGUUCCUUUACACUCUCUAUAGCACACAAGUCACUGCUUUUAAUUGCUGUACUUGAGGCUGUAAUUCAAUACCUGCUUAUCAGCUCCACAGCUGUACUGCUUAGCAGCUUGGGUUAGAAGUGAAUCAAACUGUAUUCAACAACUCAUACCUACAAGCCAGAAAACACCCAGAAUAUAUAUAUGUGCAGAACAAUGCAGUGAACUCUGUCCCAAGAGUGACUCAUUACAUUGAAUAUCUAUCCUAAAAGUCAGCAAAAACUUUGUUAUAGCUAGACAUUUAUAACAAUACAGAGUGAUUAUUAGAGAUCUGCUAUAACAGUCAGAAGCUUGAAGGGUCUGGGGGGGAGAGUUAGAUUUGGUUUGUUCUUUCUGGUUUUUUGGGUUUUUUUUGGUUUUUUUUUUUUUUGAGGGUUUGUUGUUGUUGUUUUGGGUUUUUUUGGGGUUUUUUUUGGUUUUUUUUUUAAUUAGUGUGUAACUAUAAUGCAGGCACUUGCCCUACAUUGCUGCUGUUUCUGGAUUUCUCUUUUAAAGUUACAGAUGCAAAACUAUCCUGGAAAACCUAAAGUUCUUUUGAAACCUCAAAGUUCUUUUGAAAAGUAGUUUCAUCCAAAUAGAAUCAUACCAAAUAAAGCCAUAAAAUCAGAGUCUGCUCUAAGUACACUUUAAUGAGCCCUUAGAUUAACUGAGUUUGCCAUGAAUUUUAAACACACAAAUAAAUUCUGUGUACGUUUUGGAUUUUCUGGCAUCCCCAUCGCACAGUCUUGCCUAUUACCCAUAAGGGAGUUCUGCCACAUUAAUGGAAUUAACAUGCUGCUUUUCUUUUGCUAGCAUGAGUUUUUAAAUUAUUUUAAAGGUUCUUGUAUCUCAGUUCUGCUUUCCAUGUUGAAGCUGGUAUAGAUACACCAGCAGCAAUGGCUCACUGUAGAGGACAUGCACGAUUUCAGCGUUGGCUCAGAAGAAUGAAAUGCUUGGGAUAUAGAAGUUCUUCAUUUGACAACCACCAAAAUAAGUAACGCUGAAAGAAAUAUUUAUCAACUCAGCUAUAACUAUUUCCCUUUCAUACUGGACAGUGCUGGACUACAGACAGAAUGUUAAUGACGUUUCAUUCUUUUUAUAUGCCUAAUUUAAUUGAUUAAAAUCACAUCAAAUAUACAUGUGUGGGACUUGUCAAGUCCCACCUGCUCCAGUACAGUAAGGAAAUCUGUUGCAUGUGUUAACCUUCCCAGCAGAACAGUACAUCCUACUCUCUCUGCAAGCUAAAGAUCUAUAUUUCUUUCAAAAAUUAUGAUUUAGAUUCUUCUUAUGUAGCUGAUUCCUCAAGGUAAAGAAACUGCAGUCUCAAGGGUUCUGAAGCAUGGCUGAAUUUUCUGACAUUUGUAGUAGUAUCUUUCUUUCUUUUUUGCCCCCCCUUUCUGCAUUUCUCCCAUUCCCACCCAGGACAAGUCUACUUUUUUUUAGCUUCUUGAGAUUCCACAACAAAGUAACAUUUCUCAGCAUCUACUUUGUGCUCUCUGCUUUGUCCAAAUAAACUUCUAAUAAACUGUCUUCACUAUUAUGCAACAGCAGAAGUUCUCUAUGACACGGAAAGUAAUAAUGCGGUGGAUGUUGCCCUUAAAAGAUUUUAUCAGUGAUGCAGUUUCCUAGUACAAAACUGCUUCACACAUCUGGGGGAGAAGAGGGGGAGGGUGGGGUGCAAGGGGAGAUAAACUGCCUGAGGUAAGCACCAAACCUUGCCUCAUCUCCCGAGGGCGAUGAAUCACGCACCCUGCUCAGAAUAAACACGUCCUCAUGGAAGGGGACUGCUGGAUGGAUUACAUGGAAAACACCCUAAUGGGAGGAUUUUGUUUGUCUGUAGAUGCCACUCCAGCGCAUAAAGAGAAAAGAGAAAUUCAGUUGCUGUCCCAAUAUAUCUUAGGCCGUCUCACUAAAAGCAGGUUCAUUUUUCCCCCUUUGUAAUCUAGUUUCUAAAGUAUUCAGAUUACCAUUUAACUUUGCACUGUGAGCAUCUCAUUGCUCUCCAAGGUAUAGCUAAUAGCCAGUUGCUACCUAGGAAUGAGUAUUUUGCACUAUAAUCCUCUUACUUCACUUUUGGAUGACUUAAGGAAAAAGAUAUGCCAGUGGAAAGGGAAGGGAGGAGGGAAAACAAAAAUUAGAGUGAAGAGCCAAGACAGAAACAGGGUCAGUGGCAGGAAAUGGAGCGGGGUGGGGAUGGCUGAGCCCGUGACAGCAGAGAAUGGUUAACUGGCUGGAGCUGAGAAAGCAUCAUGAAAAGGAGACAGGGCAGCAUAAAUCAAUGAGCAUACUGCACUUCAGGUCAUGGAGAAAGACUUUCUAGUGCUAUUAAAACAGUGUAUUUUAAAUAUGUGAAAAUUACACUCGGAUUGAAUAAAAAUAUUGCAAAAAAUUAACCAAGUACUGAUCUACAAGGCAUCACAGCUCUUACCUCUCAUCUGCUCAAGGUCCAGAGGUCUCUCAGGUGAGACUGCAUAACUUAUAGACAGCUCUAAGCAAGUCUAAUGGUUUUCUUAUGCUAGCAAGUCAACUGAAAAGCACAAUAGGUAAAGACUCCACAAGACUCUCUUUCAAGGCUCCUUGAACCUUCAUAGAGCAAAGGCAUGUUUAUGGACUGCACCUGUACUCCACAAAACACAUGAAUUUUUAAAAGGUUUGUGAUAGUUUUUUAUUACACUGUGUUGAUCAUAUUCUGUAAAAUUAAAAAAAAAAACCAAACUGUG
Molecule: long non-coding RNA, 4211 nt
Organism: Taeniopygia guttata (zebra finch)
Lineage: Eukaryota; Metazoa; Chordata; Aves; Passeriformes; Estrildidae
Source: RefSeq, a predicted model, not a curated record